This 268-nucleotide unclassified non-coding RNA is filed under the name Hevea brasiliensis (rubber tree). The record is from RNAcentral. Lineage: Eukaryota; Viridiplantae; Streptophyta; Magnoliopsida; Malpighiales; Euphorbiaceae.
CAUUGUCAAGGGUCUCGACGAAUGGCCUAAUGAGUACCAAAGACAGUAUGGUACCAUCGAUUUAUACUGGAUAGUGAGAGAUGGUGGUCUCAUGCUUCUACUCUCUCAGCUCCUCCUUACAAAAGAUAGCUUUGAAGGCUGUAAGAUACAGGUGUUCUGCAUUGCAGAGGAAGAUUCUGAUGCAGAGGGAUUGAAGGCUGAUGUAAAGAAGUUUCUUUAUGACCUCCGGAUGCAAGCUGAAGUUAUUGUCAUUUCCAUGAAGUCAUGG